RNAcentral lists this ribosomal RNA (1888 nucleotides) under activated sludge metagenome. Its description in RNAcentral is "bacterial LSU rRNA". It matches the Rfam family "Bacterial large subunit ribosomal RNA", at positions 1128 to 2925 of the family's 2925-position model. The record is from RNAcentral.
GAAAGCGUAAUAGCUCACUGAUCGAGUCGUCCUGCGCGGAAGAUGUAACGGGGCUCAAGCCGAUAACCGAAGCUGCGGAUCGCUGCAAUCCACCUGAGAGUGCUUGUGCGUCGCCAGAAGUCCUGGCGAGGCCCGCUUGCGUUCGCAAGCCAAGCGCCUUCAGGGGAUUGCAGCGGUGGUAGAGGAGCGUUCCGUACGCCUGCGAAGGUGUGCCGAGAGGCAUGCUGGAGGUAUCGGAAGUGCGAAUGCUGACAUGAGUAGCGAUAAAGGGAGUGAAAAGCUCCCUCGCCGAAAGCCCAAGGUUUCCUGCGCAACGUUCAUCGGCGCAGGGUGAGUCGGCCCCUAAGGUGAGGCAGAGAUGCGUAGCUGAUGGGAAUCCGGUCAAUAUUCCGGAACCGCCGGCGGGUGCGAUGUGGGGACGGAGAAGGUUAUGCAGACCAGGUGUUGGACGUCCUGGUGAAGCGUGUAGGCGGGACCCUUAGGGAAAUCCGGGGGGCCAACGCCGAGGCGCGGGACCAGGGGAGCUUUGCUCCCCGAAGCUGCAGAUACCCUGCUUCCAGGAAAAGCCACUAAGCUUCAGCCCGUCGGGACCGUACCGCAAACCGACACAGGUGGGCAGGAUGAAAAUUCUCAGGCGCUUGAGAGAACUCAGGAGAAGGAACUCGGCAAAUUGACACCGUAACUUCGGGAGAAGGUGUGCCUUUGGUAGGUGUAGCGGCUUGCCCGCGAAGCCGAAGAAGGCCGCAGAGAAUCGGUGGCUGCGACUGUUUAUCAAAAACACAGCACUCUGCUAAGACGUUGGAAGUCGACGUAUAGGGUGUGACGCCUGCCCGGUGCCGGAAGGUUAAGUGAUGGGGUGCAAGCUCUUGAUCGAAGCCCCGGUAAACGGCGGCCGUAACUAUAACGGUCCUAAGGUAGCGAAAUUCCUUGUCGGGUAAGUUCCGACCCGCACGAAUGGCGUAACGAUGGCCACACUGUCUCCUCCUGAGACUCAGCGAAGUUGAAAUGUUUGUGAAGAUGCAAUCUACCCGCGGCUAGACGGAAAGACCCCAUGAACCUUUACUGUAGCUUUGCAUUGGACUGUGACGCUGUCUGUGUAGGAUAGCUGGGAGCCUUUGAAGCCGGGAUGCUAGUUCCGGUGGAGGCGACGUUGAAAUACCAGCCUGAUGACGUUGCGGUUCUAACCUGGGCCCCUUGACGGGGUCGGGGACCGUGCAUGGUAGGCAGUUUGACUGGGGCGGUCUCCUCCCAAAGGGUAACGGAGGAGUGCGAAGGUCACCUAGGUACGGUCGGAAAUCGUACUCAUAGUGCAAUGGCAUAAGGUGGCUUGACUGCGAGACUGACAAGUCGAGCAGGUGCGAAAGCAGGUCAUAGUGAUCCGGUGGUUCUGUAUGGAAGGGCCAUCGCUCAACGGAUAAAAGGUACUCUGGGGAUAACAGGCUGAUACCGCCCAAGAGUUCAUAUCGACGGCGGUGUUUGGCACCUCGAUGUCGGCUCAUCACAUCCUGGGGCUGUAGCCGGUCCCAAGGGUAUGGCUGUUCGCCAUUUAAAGUGGUACGUGAGCUGGGUUCAAAACGUCGUGAGACAGUUUGGUCCCUAUCUGCCGUGGGCGUUGGAGAUUUGACGGGGGCUGCUCCUAGUACGAGAGGACCGGAGUGGACGCACCUCUGGUGUACCUGUUGUCACGCCAGUGGCAUUGCAGGGUAGCUAAGUGCGGAAGAGAUAACCGCUGAAAGCAUCUAAGCGGGAAACUUGCCUGAAGAUGAGAUCUCCCGGGGGUUCAACCCCCCUGAAGGGUCGUCCGAGACCAGGACGUUGAUAGGCUGGGUGUGCAAGGGUGGCAACGCCUUGAGCUAACCAGUACUAAUUGCCCGUGCGGCUUGACUCU